Long non-coding RNA from Oncorhynchus tshawytscha (Chinook salmon), 968 nucleotides. RefSeq lists it as uncharacterized. The record is from RefSeq and is a predicted model, not a curated record. The transcript is spliced from 4 exons. NCBI's taxonomy places the organism in Eukaryota, Metazoa, Chordata, Actinopteri, Salmoniformes, Salmonidae.
GGGAACCAGGCGUGGCAUUGCCAUGAAAGUGUUGUUCAUAAUGUUGGUACAUAAAAGAAAGAGUCGUCUUUUGUAACUCGUUGUAGAACUUAGGUCAUUUUACGAUUCUCUGAUGGAAAAAUGCAAUGAGGAUGAGAAGCCCGUAACGUUAACUUCGGGAUAGCAGUGCUAGUACCGUAGUUCUUGCUGUAAAAUUGACUAAUAGAAGUAUAAAGGGGAGGAAUUGCACAUGCAGGAACGCCCUGAAUUGUGCGUCGCAAUUACACCCUUCUAAACAAUUCCAUGAGGAGCGUUUGAAAAAUAAACACUUUAAUUGAACAAUUGAACAGUUGUUAAUUCUACAGGAUUAGCAUUGAAAGCGUGACUAGCGGUGGGGAAAUCAGAGGGAAGUCAGAGGACACUGAUGCCCCGGUCCCAUUUCACAGCAAGCAUCCAGACUGCCAAAAUCACAGUACCAGGGACUGCAAAGGGUGAGGGACCACACCAAUAACAUGGGUCACCCCUGCCACAACAACACCAUCAGACUCUGCCAACCCAUGGCCCAUGACACUCAGACCAAACAGGAAAUUCUGGAACUGUGCAGAUAAAACCAGAGGAUUCUGAUCUGGAGAGAGAGAAGCUGAAUAAGGAGAAGGAUGCUCUGCAGGUGACAACAGAGUUUAUGACGGUCAUAAUGGAGGAUGGAGGAUGGAGGAUGGAGGAGCAGCAGCAGCAGAGACCCUCAGGGAAGAACAACACUCUGAAAGCCAAAGACAAGCUACAGACCGGAGGGCCUCACAGCAAGGAGGAGCAUGACAGGAAAAUCAAAUGGAUCAAAACCGCGUGCUGCCUUCCACUGAAGAAGACUAAAUAACAGGCUGAGUUAUGACCCUAAGCUCUGAACUGUAGUACUGGAGAAAGGAGAUUGACCUCUGCUGAUGGUUUUGUAGUCUUGCUAUUGGUUGUGUUUAUAAAGACAUGAAUCAGCA